UUGUUUCAUUUAUGCUGUUCCGUAAUACCGCGAACUGGCACGCACACCUGUUCCCUCCUGAUUGAAAUUGAACAGCAGACCGCAUUUCCAGAGGCUGACUUUAUGGUUGAGUCGGCUGAACGUUAAGCUGUCUCUACAACCACACUGGAUGAAGGUAUCCUUACCAGGUGACUCUACAAGUUUGUUUUAUCGACCUUACGAGGUGAAACUGAUGCCAGAUGAAACUGAUGCAACGCUUGAAAAGAGUGGAGCUUCUCUAUGAGUACCAGAAGAGAGACAAUAACAAACUCAUUAAUGAGAAGAUGGCAAAAACCUUCUCACUGCGUCGAAAUUAUGUAAUCCUCCAACCACCUGUGAUCGACCUUAAAGCUCGAUGGCCUGCCUUCUUUGAGUGUUUCCAGGUUUUCAAUGACAACGAUGGUGCAGCUGUCCAAGAAGCUCUACUACUACUUUUGUCCUCGGCAUCUUUGUUGUCAGCAAAACCAGGGAUGGUCUCCCCAAGCAAGCUGGAAUAGCCGUUGAGGGAGCAGAAAUCCUUUUUGGUAUCCCAGAUGUGGCACAUGCUUGCACCUAUCUGAUGGGCCUUAUCUAUGCCUUGGAACUAAGGUACCCUAAUAAACUGAAAUACACAUUUGAGGUCUUUCAGAAGAUCUUCCUAGAGCUGGAGGAUGCGAACAAAAAAAAUUCCUCCAAAGUCCAUGAUCUCAAGAUCGGUUUGCAUGCUUAAAAGCUAUACAGAUGGUGUUGAAGGUGUAGGAUUUGAGUGAGCUCACUCUUAUCAAGUUUUACAGAGUUUUACACAGUUCUUCUGAGGUUCUCCCAAUGCACUCUCUCAGGUUACACUGCUCGUUUUUUUCUAUGAUGUUGGGAAAUAAUUAAUUUGAUAGAGUUUAAUGUGCUGGCGCAUGCUUUAUUAUGUUACAGUGGUGCUCAUAAGUUUAUGAACCCAUGCUUAAGUUGACUAAAAGAGGAAUAAAAAAUAAUCUUUU
Molecule: long non-coding RNA, 989 nt
Organism: Perca flavescens (yellow perch)
Lineage: Eukaryota; Metazoa; Chordata; Actinopteri; Perciformes; Percidae
Exons: 3
Source: RefSeq, a predicted model, not a curated record